AACCUAUGAUGUGGACAAUGAACCAAAAGCAAUUUAAAUCAUUCCCAAGCUUCAUAGACCUCACCUUCUAUUUGUGUGAAUGUAGCCAUCUUACUACUCAAUUC
Small nucleolar RNA from Pistacia vera, 104 nucleotides. NCBI's taxonomy places the organism in Eukaryota, Viridiplantae, Streptophyta, Magnoliopsida, Sapindales, Anacardiaceae. The record is from RefSeq and is a predicted model, not a curated record.